RNAcentral lists this transfer RNA (68 nucleotides) under Ictidomys tridecemlineatus (thirteen-lined ground squirrel). RNAcentral describes it as "Spermophilus tridecemlineatus (thirteen-lined ground squirrel) tRNA". It matches the Rfam family "tRNA". Rfam says of the family: Transfer RNA (tRNA) molecules are approximately 80 nucleotides in length. Their secondary structure includes four short double-helical elements and three loops (D, anti-codon, and T loops). Lineage: Eukaryota; Metazoa; Chordata; Mammalia; Rodentia; Sciuridae. The record is from Rfam by way of RNAcentral.
GGUGUUGUAGCUCAGUGGAAGAGUGCUUGUCUACGAAGUGUGAGGCACUGGUUUGAUUCUCAGCACCA